AAAUUGAAGAGUUUGAUCAUGGCUCAGAUUGAACGCUGGCGGCAGGCCUAACACAUGCAAGUCGAACGGUAACAGGAAGCAGCUUGCUGCUUUGCUGACGAGUGGCGGACGGGUGAGUAAUGUCUGGGAAACUGCCUGAUGGAGGGGGAUAACUACUGGAAACGGUGGCUAAUACCGCAUAACGUCGCAAGACCAAAGAGGGGGACCUUCGGGCCUCUUGCCAUCAGAUGUGCCCAGAUGGGAUUAGCUUGUUGGUGAGGUAACGGCUCACCAAGGCGACGAUCCCUAGCUGGUCUGAGAGGAUGACCAGCCACACUGGAACUGAGACACGGUCCAGACUCCUACGGGAGGCAGCAGUGGGGAAUAUUGCACAAUGGGCGCAAGCCUGAUGCAGCCAUGCCGCGUGUAUGAAGAAGGCCUUCGGGUUGUAAAGUACUUUCAGCGGGGAGGAAGGUGUUGUGGUUAAUAACCGCAGCAAUUGACGUUACCCGCAGAAGAAGCACCGGCUAACUCCGUGCCAGCAGCCGCGGUAAUACGGAGGGUGCAAGCGUUAAUCGGAAUUACUGGGCGUAAAGCGCACGCAGGCGGUCUGUCAAGUCGGAUGUGAAAUCCCCGGGCUCAACCUGGGAACUGCAUUCGAAACUGGCAGGCUUGAGUCUUGUAGAGGGGGGUAGAAUUCCAGGUGUAGCGGUGAAAUGCGUAGAGAUCUGGAGGAAUACCGGUGGCGAAGGCGGCCCCCUGGACAAAGACUGACGCUCAGGUGCGAAAGCGUGGGGAGCAAACAGGAUUAGAUACCCUGGUAGUCCACGCCGUAAACGAUGUCUACUUGGAGGUUGUGCCCUUGAGGCGUGGCUUCCGGAGCUAACGCGUUAAGUAGACCGCCUGGGGAGUACGGCCGCAAGGUUAAAACUCAAAUGAAUUGACGGGGGCCCGCACAAGCGGUGGAGCAUGUGGUUUAAUUCGAUGCAACGCGAAGAACCUUACCUGGUCUUGACAUCCACAGAACUUUCCAGAGAUGGAUUGGUGCCUUCGGGAACUGUGAGACAGGUGCUGCAUGGCUGUCGUCAGCUCGUGUUGUGAAAUGUUGGGUUAAGUCCCGCAACGAGCGCAACCCUUAUCCUUUGUUGCCAGCGGUUAGGCCGGGAACUCAAAGGAGACUGCCAGUGAUAAACUGGAGGAAGGUGGGGAUGACGUCAAGUCAUCAUGGCCCUUACGACCAGGGCUACACACGUGCUACAAUGGCGCAUACAAAGAGAAGCGACCUCGCGAGAGCAAGCGGACCUCAUAAAGUGCGUCGUAGUCCGGAUUGGAGUCUGCAACUCGACUCCAUGAAGUCGGAAUCGCUAGUAAUCGUGGAUCAGAAUGCCACGGUGAAUACGUUCCCGGGCCUUGUACACACCGCCCGUCACACCAUGGGAGUGGGUUGCAAAAGAAGUAGGUAGCUUAACCUUCGGGAGGGCGCUUACCACUUUGUGAUUCAUGACUGGGGUGAAGUCGUAACAAGGUAACCGUAGGGGAACCUGCGGUUGGAUCACCUCCUUA
Molecule: ribosomal RNA, 1542 nt
Filed under: Salmonella enterica subsp. enterica serovar Potsdam
Lineage: Bacteria; Pseudomonadati; Pseudomonadota; Gammaproteobacteria; Enterobacterales; Enterobacteriaceae
Also listed under: 104 other names
Description: bacterial SSU rRNA
Rfam family: Bacterial small subunit ribosomal RNA
Source: RNAcentral